RNAcentral lists this long non-coding RNA (5427 nucleotides) under Pelobates cultripes (western spadefoot toad). The record is from RNAcentral. Lineage: Eukaryota; Metazoa; Chordata; Amphibia; Anura; Pelobatidae.
UCUUAUAUCUGACCAUGAAUACAUUACUGUCUAUAUGUUGUGCACUGAUCUGGAUUCCAUGUAUGUAUCAGUUCUGCUUAUUAGUCAUUUAUAAUGUUUACUCAGUUUGUUUCUCACAUGUAUUUUCACUCUCCUAGAUGCUGAAUCUCAGACACUAUUGCUUACACCAUCAAACCCUGCAGUGAAUGUUGGACAAAGUGUAACUUUUACCUGUAACGUUGGAGUUAAGGAUGGAGACUGGGUGCAUUUAUUAAAACAGAUCCCAGGAGAAGCUCCCCAGCUUAUUAUUUACAAUCACCAUUCAUUUUCUUCUCCAAGAUAUGGACCUGGAAUAUCUUCAGAUCGUUUUACUUCCUCCAUUAACAGUGCGGCAACAGAAUAUUACUUUACCAUUCGUAAAACAGAAAUAGCAGACACUGCUCGGUAUUAUUGUGUGAAGUGGUAUGGCAGUAAUACUGGAUUCCACCGUGCUACACAGUGUGACAAAAACAUUGUACUAUAUUACACUAUAUAACGUGAACUGUAUAAAGACAUUCAGUCAUGUUUCACUUCACAAGCUGCACCUGGCCCUAGCCGAUUCUUUAUACACAUGCUGAUUAUAACUAGUGUAUGUUUUGUAUUUUCUCCUAUAUUCAUACUGUUUAUUAAGAAAUAGAUUAGUCUAAAUGCAACAACCUAUUUGAUGUUGACAGUGUUUUGCUGCUGGUUUAUUCUUGACUUAGUUAAUAAAAAAAAAAAACCCAGAAAAUAUUACCAUUUUACAAUUAAAAAGUCUGGUGAAAUUACUUAAACAGAUUAAAUAAAAUCCAUUUUUUUUUCUUUUGCCAAAAAGAUAAUUAAUUAAAUAACCAAUAUAAGAACAAUUACUAAUGUAAUCAUCUUGUCACUAAUAUAUAUAGUGCUUCACCAUUACACCAGUGCGAAUCUGUGUGAAUAUAGAAACAUAGAAUGUGACGGCAGAUAAGAACAAUUCGGCCCAUCCAGUCUGCCCAAUUUUCUAAAUACUUUCAUUAGACCAUGGCCUUAUCUUAUAGUUAGGAUAGCCUUAUGCCUAUCCCACGCAUGCUUAAACUCCUUUACUGUGUUAACCUCUACCACUUUAGCUGGAAGGCUAUUCCAUGCAUCCACUACCCUCUCAGUAAAGUAAUCUUUGGAAGAUCAAAUUUUCUCACAGAGAUUAGAGCCAGUUGCUGUUCCUGAAAUCUGCUGUGUUCCUAAAGGUCUAUUUGGAUUCAAAAUGAGGUAGCAAUAGGAAUAUAAAUGUAUAAUAAAACUAAUCUCUACAUAUGAGCUGAAAAUGAAGUAUGUUAAUCAGGACCAGAGUGGGAAAAAAUUCAGCCCACUGAAGAGGAGGGUUUUUUUUCCUCACCAACCACAGCACACCCCCUCUCAAAGUGAGCAUGAAAGUUUAAUGCUCUUCCAGGGCAGCCCAUGCAUGGAGACCUGAUUAAGAGCCCUUGAAUGAGAAAAAAGGCCCUUUAUUUGUUCUGCGCAGUGCAAGAAAUGUUUUAUAUUGUAUAUUCCUGUGUAUAUCAGGAAUGUAGUGUGCGUGUAGGUAGUGCAGUGAGUAGAGGAUUCAGAGUUGUGUAUAGGAUCUAUUGUGCGUGUAAGGGGUGUGGAGUAUGUAUGAGAAGUGUGGUGUGUUUGAGGGGGUAGUAUGUGAGUGAGGGGUGCAUUGUGUGAAUGUGUUGGGAGAUAUUGUAUAUAGAUGGGGCAGAUAAAGGCCUAAAUAAAUAUAUGUUUUUUUCUAAUUAAAAAAAUAUACUUUAUUUCCCUCCUUUCUUACCUUUGCUCAGGGAGGGGGGAUACUGUAAGCUCUGGUGGUCUGAUGGUGAAUGAACUUUAUGCUUGCAGCUCUUCAGGCUAGAAUUCACUCUCACAAGAUCACAGUGUUGCCAUUGGUAACUGUGCCAAUGCUUCGACCUUGCGGGAAGAACCCGGCGGAACUACAGGCUAGAGCGACCUGGGUCCUCUACCCUCUCCUAUUUACCGUAUGUCAGUGCCAGUAAAUCGAUGAGGGAGGUUUUUUAUUUGCAAAAUGCAGAUUUCUCUUGAAAUCAGUACUUUUUUUUUUUUUUACGUAAUACAAAGGGGACAUGUAUACCCCCCAAAACACUUAACCUAUUCUGAACAGAAUUGAUUACUCAGUAUUCAGGCUCACCGCCCACAUAGUGUAAAAUUAAAGAAUGAAAUCUUCACUUCUGGAACAUCUUGAGUAAAUAGAAUAAACACAAGAAAAAGUCAGUUAGUGUAAUACAGAAAUUUUAAUAAAGUAUACACUAUCUGACUGUUUCUUCAGAUUAUUAAACGUUAUUAAACUUGCUGGUUCAGACUAUUUGUCUGUUUCUCAUCCUCAGCCACAUUGCCAUAGAUAUGAUCUACUUGCAUUUUGCCAAGACGUUCAAUACAGUUCCACACAAUAGGUUAGUUUUCAUACUAAAAUUGAUCUAGAUUGACAUUCUCAUUCUUGGGUAGAAUGUUGGCUUAAAGAUAGAGUACAGGAAAUUAUUUAUGGUAAUUUUUCAAGUUAGACAAAUGUAGUAAAUUGUGAACCUCAGGGUACUGUUCUGAGACCACUUCCAUACAACAUAUUUAUAAAUGAUCUUAAAAUAGGCAUUGAAUGUUGUGUUUACAGGUGACACAAAACCAGGUAAGGUGAAACAAUGUGAGCAGGAUAUUACUUUGCUGCAGAGGGAUUUGCCUGAGAGAUAAUUGCAUGAGAAAAAGCUAUAACUUAAUUAUCUCUCAGGUACAAAACAAUAUACAAUAUUUUAAAACAUCCCAACAAUACAUUUGAAUAACUUCAGAACCCCACAAAAGUCAUAUCACCAAAUAGGUUGGAUCUGAGCAAACACUUUGCCAAAAUAUAUCGCUCAGAUCCCUUUGUUGGUUCAGGAAUGUCAUUCAAAUUAAGUUUUGACCGGACGGCCACAAAGUGAUGCCCCAAAACAGUUCCAGAGAAAACAAGGCAAUGACAGGUCAUCUUUCAGGGUUUUUCACACGAACACUGAUGAAUCCAUUCCCUGGCUGUUAGGGUACAAAUGCUCUCCCUGUUCGGUAGUUUGUGCCUGUUGAACGCCAUUCUCCUAACUGUUCUGGAUGUUGCAUGGGCAGCAGUACCAGUUUCCCGGGUGUUCGCCGGGUCACAUAUCUGAAAAUAGUUCCACGCCGUCGACGACCAUGUACUGCUGCCCGCGUUCAGGAGACAAAAUGGCCACACAGGGAAAGCACGUGAACUAAUAACAAAUUUGUGGUUAACAGCCAGGUGUGGUCGUGAUUAUGAAGUGCGAACAAGUGGCCACACAGCAAGGAGGUAUACUGACAGCCAAACAAAGGGAAUAAAAGUAUGUUUCGGUUCUCCAUUCCGCUACAAAUACAUAGAAUGCAAAGUAGAGCAUUUAGACUGGUAGAAUGGAGAUUUAGUCUAGGACAAAGGAAAGUCUUUUUUUUUUUACCAUAAGAACAAUAAGGACCUGGAAUUCUCUUCCUGAAAAAGUGGAUUUAUCAGCAUCUGUACAGAUGUCUAAACAGCAACUGGAAGAAUACUUGCAAAAACAUAAUAUUCAAGAAAAUACAUUUUAAUAAGUGGGGUAACAGCUUCUUUAUCCAAGGGAAAUCUGAGUGCCAUUCUUGGGUCAAGAAGGAAUUUUUCCCUAGUUUGUUGCAAAAUUGGAAACUGCUUUUUAUUUGUUUUUGUUUUUUUCACUUUUUAAAGCAUUUUGCUAACUGUAUUGCUUAGGGUUAUUUCAAUAUUUACAUAGGUGGAGUAUCUCACAGCAAGUUAGACAACAGCAAUACAAUAAAAUGCAGGAUGGGGUGAUCUAAAAUGAAGAAAUAAAAGACAAAAUACUAGUGCAAUAUUGGCUGUAUGAAAAGCCAAAAUACAUUGAAUAUGUAUAUAGCACUCACAAAAGUUUAAUAUGCAGGCAUAGUAAGAUCUAAAUAUAAAUAUAUAUAAAUCUAAUUUCCUCCAUGCCUAUUUUUUUAUUAUAGCCAACUUCUCUCCAGUCUUUUUUUUUUUUUACUGAUUUAAUGGCCCAAAAGAAUAAACCCUCUCUGUUUUGAGUAUGUAUAAUCUUGAAAUGUUGAAAACCACUAUUUGUUUCCAGGCCCUUUUUAAUAUUCCUAAUGUCUUCUGCUAUUCUAACAUUUGUUGCCUUAUAGUUCUGCCUUCAUACAGGAGGUUGCAGGGGCAUUUUAAGAUGUAUAUCACUCCUUUGGAGUGGCAAGUAAGAUGAUCACUCAUUAUAUAUAUAUAUAUAUAUAUAUAUAUAUAUAUAUAUAUAUAUAUUGACAUUGUGUGUGUGGGAUUUCACACAUGUGUAGAGUAUCACCUAUUUACCAUUACACACCACCAUUUUGUGCACUUUGAUUUUUUUAAUGUAAAUAUUUGCUGCUGGCUUCUAGUGCUGACAGUGGGCAGAUAAUACUUAAAAUUAUGUAACAAUAGUAUUCAUACUGCUGGAUACAUUUGGUCCCUAAUUAGUUUAAAACUGGUGAUUUGUGAAUAAUAUACCAAAUCCUAUACUUUAUAAAGGAUUUGGCGAUGGCUGCAGAUUCACUUGGGUCAACCAAAUCCUGACCCUAUUUUGCUGUAUUAACUAUGAGACAAAAUCUGGUGUUUAGUGAAUAAUGCUGUAGUUUUUAUUCAUUAUGUUCAAAGACAUAACAUUGAUUUUAUAUUUUCAUUGUAAACUGCUGUCAAUAUUUUAUGCUUUUUGUCAUUAUUUUAUACCUAGUUUUACAUAAAACACAGGUUUUAUUAUAUUUAAAGAUAUAUCACUGGUUUUAUUUGUUUUUAUUUCAGUUGUGACUCACUCUUUUUGGCGUUAUUUAUAAACCUUUAUCAGAGAUAACCAUAUUCAUAACUUUCUGUGAUAAAUUUGCAUCAGUGGCUCCACAAUGUUCCAAGUUAUCGGUAUAUAUACAGCUCUAUCACAGCAUGUACAGAGCACAAAUAGACACCUUAUAUCUGACCAUGAACAAAUUACUGUCUAUAUGUUGUGCAUUGAUCUGGAUCACAUGUAUGUAUCAGUUCUGCUUAUUUGUCAUUUAUAAUGUUUACUCAGUUAGUUUCUCACAUGUAUUUUCACUCUCCUAGAUGCUGAAUCUCAGACACUAUUGCUGACACCAUCAAACCCUGCAGUGAAUGUUGGGCAAAGUGUAACUUUUACCUGUAACAUUGGAGUUAAGGAUGGAGAUGCAGCACAUUUAUUAAAACAGAUGCCAGGAGAAGCUCCCUGGCUUAUUAUAUACAAUCACCAUUCAUAUUCUUCUCCAAGAUAUGGACCUGGAAUAUCUUCAGAUCGUUUUACUGCCUCCAUUAACAGUGCAGCAACAGAAUAUUACUUUACCAUACGUAAAACAGAGAUGGCAGACACUGCUCGGUAUUAUUGUGUGAAGUGGUUUGGCAGUAAUACUGGAUAC